RNAcentral lists this transfer RNA (59 nucleotides) under Serrognathus titanus. RNAcentral's name for it is "tRNA-Leu". Lineage: Eukaryota; Metazoa; Arthropoda; Insecta; Coleoptera; Lucanidae. The record is from RNAcentral.
UGUGGCAGAAUAGUGCGGUGGACUUAAACCCCAUAAAUAAAGUAUAACUUUUUUUAGAA